Molecule: ribosomal RNA, 95 nt
Filed under: Hypogymnia sp. Hur 040036
Lineage: Eukaryota; Fungi; Ascomycota; Lecanoromycetes; Lecanorales; Parmeliaceae
Description: partial 28S ribosomal RNA
Rfam family: Eukaryotic large subunit ribosomal RNA
Source: RNAcentral
UUGACCUCGGAUCAGGUAGGGAUACCCGCUGAACUUAAGCAUAUCAAUAAGCGGAGGAAAAAGAAACCAACAGGGAUUGCCUCAGUAACGGCAUG